Leptidea sinapis is the source of this 425-nucleotide long non-coding RNA. RefSeq lists it as uncharacterized. The record is from RefSeq and is a predicted model, not a curated record. The transcript has 2 exons. Lineage: Eukaryota; Metazoa; Arthropoda; Insecta; Lepidoptera; Pieridae.
AUCAUUCAGCAGAGUUUCCUAAUCACUACGAUGCCGUAGUGUCGUCAGAGGUAAUAGAACACGUGCUAGAUCAGGACCUGUUCGUUAAAAGUUGUGUGGAUGCUCUUAAGCCAGGCGGCAGAAUAGUCAUAACAGCGCCAAGUAAAACAUUACUGGCCAAACUUCACCUAAUAGUACUUCUUGAAGAUAUUGUGAAAAUAAUACCAAAGGGCUUACAUGAAUACGAUAAGUUUAUAACUCCAGAAGCAUUGACACACAUUUUAGAACGCUAUAAUUGCAAAGUAGAACGUGUACGAGGAAGAAUGUACUACCCUUGGUCAAACAAAUGGAAGUGGGUGAACUAUUCAACAGCGUAUUAUGUGUUACAAGCAGUCAAACUUAAAUGAUUAUUAUUUUAGAAUACAAUUAUAUUUUAUCCUGUGAAA